AAAAAGAGAAACCCUGGGUUUCCGUGUCCAACUUUAACUGUCCAUCUUAUAUGAAAUUUUUUUAUAAUUCGUAUUUUCAUUGUUGUUAGAUGAUAAAACAUGAUUAAUAUUUUAUGCGUGACUUGUCUUUUUAAUUUUUUUCAUAAUUUUUAUAAAUAAGACGGAUGUUCAAACGUUGGGCACGGAAACCAGGGAUUGUCUUUUU
Non-coding RNA from Oryza nivara, 205 nucleotides. Lineage: Eukaryota; Viridiplantae; Streptophyta; Magnoliopsida; Poales; Poaceae. The record is from Rfam.